Long non-coding RNA from Meriones unguiculatus (Mongolian gerbil), 1339 nucleotides. RefSeq lists it as uncharacterized. NCBI's taxonomy places the organism in Eukaryota, Metazoa, Chordata, Mammalia, Rodentia, Muridae. The transcript is spliced from 2 exons. The record is from RefSeq and is a predicted model, not a curated record.
CGCAUACAUGUACACGUACUCACAUACAAACACACACAUAAUUGUUAAAAUAAUAAAAAGAAGCUCCUGGUGGUAAACGGAGCAAAACCAGCAAACAUAUUGUGGCUUACAAUCAUCUGUAAGUCCAGUUCAGGGGGAUCCGGGUCCUCUUCUGGCCUCGGUGGACACAAGGCACAACACACACACACACACACACACACACACACACACACACACACGGUACACAUACAUACAUGCAGGUAAACAGCUCAACGAUUUAAAGUAAAUUAGACAAAUAUAAAUCUCAUUUAUUUGCCAGGAGUGGUGGCACACACCUUUGAUUCCAGCAUUCAGAGGCAUAGACAGGUAGAUCUCUGGGAGUUCAAGGCCAGCCUACAAUCUGGAAAAAGGUAACUUGGGCCCUUGGGAACAACCCCGUGGUCUGGGCCAAAUUCUUAAAAAAACCUCUCUUCAAAGGCCACUGGGCACAGGACCCAUGGGACCCCACAGUCCAGUGCAAUUAAACUAAUAGAAAUGGAUUUGUUGAGAGAGAAAAUGAAAGGAAAAAAAAAUUUUAAAAAGGAGCUAACUCCAGGUGUACACCUGUGCGGAAAUGGAAGCAGGAAGGUCAGCAAUCCAGUGUCAUCCUCAGCUACAUGUCCCUUCUUUAGGGAGUAGGUACCGGUUUUUCUCUGUUUCUGCUGAGCCGUGAAGCACAGAGCAGUUAAAGGAUCUGCUGAAGACCACACAGCCGUCCAGGUGUCCAGCCUCGGCUGCAAAUCAAAUCAAGAGUCCCGAGCCAAACACUCAAGUCCUAAACGCUACUGCCUCCCUGUGGAGAGUCUUCCAGUUGCAAGAGACCCGCCCGGCUUUUAAACCCUCCCUUGCUGAGACCUCGCAGCCACGGGUCUGCGUGAGAUCCUGCCUCAAAACAGACAAAAUGAGGGACUAAACAAACAGGUCUCCAGGUGUCCCUAGGGGCCGUGUUCCCCAGUGGCUGACUCUGACUUAACCUCUGGGAACUUGAGGGGUCUUUAAACCAGGGUCUCGGCCACAUGUGGGGGAGUCAUCCCUGUAACCUGAGCACUUGGGAAGCUGAGGCAGGAGGACCGCUGCAAUGUUCCGGCAAGACUGAGCGAGAAAUUACUUUCAAGAACGAGCAACGGUAAUACAGCUGCUGGCAUUUCUAUGCUGGACAGCUCAUUACUGAGGGCUUCUGUGCACUGAGUGUUCAGUGGCCCUGUCUCCCAUGUGACAACCAAAAAUGUCUCCACAUGGUGACAGGUCCCCUGAGGGAAACAGAAUUUCAAAAUCUGCCUCUAGACCAACAACUUAAAGAAACUAAAAUCUUAGGCCUGUC